CUGUGUCCUUCGACGCCGGUUCACCGCCUGUCGGUGCCAACUGGCGUUUUGCGGGACGUCCUGUCGGUGGUGUGCCAGGAAUCUUAGUUGUGCUAAGCUUUGCUCAGUGCAGCUCUGGUUUCGGGCCACUUUCAUAAUCCCGCCGCGGUGCUCUUAAUCGAGUGUCGAGGCGGGCCGGCACGUUUACUUUGAACAAAUUAGAGUGCUUCAAGCAGGCUUGUCACGCCUGUAUACUGUGUGCAUGGAAUAAUGGAAUAGGACCUCGGUUCUAUUUUGUUGGUUUCCGGAAUCUGAGGUAAUGAUCAAUGGGGACAGGCGGGGGCAUUCGUAUUGCGACGUUAGAGGUGAAAUUCUUGGAUCGUCGCAAGACGGACCGAAGCGAAAGCAUUUGCCAAGUAUGUUCCCGUCGAUCAAGAACGAAAGUUAGAGGUUCGAAGGCGAUCAGAUACCGCCCUAGUUCUAACCAUAAACAAUGCCUGCCAGCGAUCCGCCGGCGUCCCUCCGAUGACCCGGCGGGCAGCUUCCGGGAAACCAGAGCUUUUGGGUUCCGGGGGAAGUAUGGUUGCAAAGCUGAAACUUAAAGGAAUUGACGGAAGGGCACCACCAGGAGUGGAGCCUGCGGCUUAAUUUGACUCAACACGGGAAAACUCACCAGGCCCGGACACCGGAAGGAUUGACAGAUUGAUAGCUCUUUCUUGAUUCGGUGGGUGGUGGUGCAUGGCCGUUCUUAGUUGGUGGAGCGAUUUGUCUGGUUAAUUCCGAUAACGAACGAGACUCUAGCCUACUAACUAGACGUAUCUGGUAUCAGCAAUCGUGCUACCAGCGAUCAUAUCUCUUCUUAGAGGGACAGGCGGCUUCUAGCCGCACGAGACUGAGCAAUAACAGGUCUGUGAUGCCCUUAGAUGUCCUGGGCCGCACGCGCGCUACACUGAAGGAAUCAGCGUGUCUUCCCUGUCCGAAAGGACCGGGUAACCCGCUGAACCUCCUUCGUGCUUGGGAUUGGGGCUUGCAAUUGUUCCCCAUGAACGAGGAAUUCCCAGUAAGCGCGAGUCAUAAGCUCGCGUUGAUUACGUCCCUGCCCUUUGUACACACCGCCCGUCGCUACUACCGAUUGAAUGAUUUAGUGAGGUCUUCGGACCGGUGCGCGGAGGCGGUUUACCGCUCCCGAUGUUGUCGGAAAGAUGACCAAACUUGAUCAUU
Molecule: ribosomal RNA, 1200 nt
Filed under: Nothodelphax lineatipes
Lineage: Eukaryota; Metazoa; Arthropoda; Insecta; Hemiptera; Delphacidae
Description: SSU rRNA
Rfam family: Eukaryotic small subunit ribosomal RNA
Source: RNAcentral